UGGGGAAUAUUGCACAAUGGGCGCAAGCCUGAUGCAGCCAUGCCGCGUGUAUGAAGAAGGGAUUUGGGUUGUAAAGUAAUUUCAGAGGGGAGGAAGGAGAUAAGGUUAAUAACCUUGUCGAUUGACGUUACCCGCAGAAGAAGCACCGGCUAACUCCGUGCCAGCAGCCGCGGUAAUACGGAGGGUGCAAGCGUUAAUCGGAAUUACUGGGCGUAAAGCGCACGCAGGCGGUCUGUCAAGUCGGAUGUGAAAUCCCCAGGCUCAACCUGGGAACUGCAUUCGAAACUGGCAGGCUAGAGUCUUGUAGAGGGGGGUAGAAUUCCAGGUGUAGCGGUGAAAUGCGUAGAGAUCUGGAGGAAUACCGGUGGCGAAGGCGGCCCCCUGGACAAAGACUGACUCUCAGGUGCGAAAGCGUGGGGAGCAAACA
Molecule: ribosomal RNA, 427 nt
Filed under: uncultured bacterium
Lineage: Bacteria
Description: partial 16S ribosomal RNA
Rfam family: Bacterial small subunit ribosomal RNA
Source: RNAcentral